This 527-nucleotide ribosomal RNA is filed under the name uncultured bacterium. RNAcentral's name for it is "bacterial SSU rRNA". It matches the Rfam family "Bacterial small subunit ribosomal RNA", at positions 983 to 1509 of the family's 1533-position model. The record is from RNAcentral.
GACAUCCAGAGAACUUAGCAGAGAUGCUUUGGUGCCUUCGGGAACUCUGAGACAGGUGCUGCAUGGCUGUCGUCAGCUCGUGUUGUGAAAUGUUUGGGUUAAGUCCGCAACGAGCGCAACCCUUUAUCCUUUGUUGCCAGCGAUUCGGUCGGGAACUCAAAGGAGACUGCCGGUGAUAAACCGGAGGAAGGUGGGGAUGACGUCAAGUCAUCAUGGCCCUUACGAGUAGGGCUACACACGUGCUACAAUGGCGCAUACAAAGAGAAGCGACCUCGCGAGAGCAAGCGGACCUCACAAAGUGCGUCGUAGUCCGGAUCGGAGUCUGCAACUCGACUCCGUGAAGUCGGAAUCGCUAGUAAUCGUGGAUCAGAAUGCCACGGUGAAUACGUUCCCGGGCCUUGUACACACCGCCCGUCACACCAUGGGAGUGGGUUGCAAAAGAAGUAGGUAGCUUAACCUUCGGGAGGGCGCUUACCACUUUGUGAUUCAUGACUGGGGUGAAGUCGUAACAAGGUAGGCGUACGUGU